Molecule: long non-coding RNA, 835 nt
Filed under: Rattus norvegicus (Norway rat)
Lineage: Eukaryota; Metazoa; Chordata; Mammalia; Rodentia; Muridae
Description: long non-coding RNA NONRATT008910
Source: RNAcentral
GUGUAUGUGUGCUCAUGUUUAUGUGUAAAUGUUGAUGUGCACGUGUACAUACAUGCUGUAUUGUGCCCUCAACGUCUACCUUGUUUGAAGCGGGAUCUUUUGUUUUCUAUUACAGCAUCCAACAAGCGGGCUAGCCUGCCAUCAGCCAGGGGUUCUCUGCCUGCCUCCCAUCUUGCCGUGCGAGCCCUGGAAUUACAAAUGUGUGCUACCCUGUCUGGCUUUUAUAAGGGUUCUAGGCCUCUGAACUCAAGUCUUCAUGCUUGCAAGCCUAGGAUCUUACCCACUGAGCCGUCUCCCCAGCCCCCAUAGACCUCUUGAGUCUCCUUAUAAAGCGAAACUCAUGGAAUUCAAUGACUGGGCUGGGAGGAGUUAGGGACUGACCCUAGAAAACAAACAAGCUUUUGGUUUGGUUUGGCUGCACUUAUGAAGUCCACUGUCACCCAGCAGUGACCCCAUCCUGGUGUGGAAAGAGCUAGAACAGUAAGGGGUUGCCACCCAUGGAGAGCCACUAAUCUGAAGGCCUUGGUGGAGAGCACGCUCACUUCCCCAGAUGCAAUCCUGCCUGUGUCGAAAGGGGCCUUGGGUCACCCUUUCUCUUUGUGCAACCAGGUCAAGAGAACAGUUUCUGCUUCUUCAUCUGCUUCUUUCUUGAAAAACAAAAAGUUAAAGAUUUUACUUGUUUUACUUUAUGUGUAUGAGUGUUUUGCCUGUGUGUAUGUCUGGGCACCACAGGCAUACAUGGAGGUCAGAAGAGGGUGUCGUAUCCCUUAAAACUGGAGUUAUGGCAUCAACGGGAGUUCUGGGGACAAGAGCAAUAAACGCUUUUAAUCACCGA